GACUCGGAAUGGCCCCUGACUUGGCAGGCAGCCUCCGUGUGCCAAAAAUAGGCCACGGGCACAGCCGCGCCCAAAAAUCAGCCCCCGAAGGUCGGGGUCCCAAGACCCCCCAGCGGAAAAAUGGCCAAAAAACGGGUGGGCGAUAGCCUUUGUGGGCGGCGUGGGCGAAGUUCGUCCGCGGGACUCGGAAUGGCACCAUACUUGGCGGGCGGCCUCUGUGUGCCAAAAAUAGGCCACAGGCACAGCCGCGCCCAAAAAUCAGCCCCCGAAGGUCGGGGUCCCAAGACCCCCCAGCGGAAAAAUGGCCAAAAAACGGGUGGGCUAUAGCCUUGGUGGGGGGCGUGGGCGAACUUCCUCCGCGGGACUCGGAAUGGCCCCUGACUUGGCGGGCGGCCUCCGUGUGCCAAAAAUAGGCCACGGGCACAGCCGCGCCCAAAAAUCAGCCCCCGAAGGUCGGGGUCCCAAGACCCCCCAGCGGAAAAAUGGCCAAAAAACGGGUGGGCUAUAGCCUCGGUGGGGGGCGUGGGCGAACUUCGUCCGCGGGACUCGAAAUGGCCCCUGAAUUGGCGGGCGGCCUCAUUGUGCCAAAAAUAGGCCACGGGCACAGCCGCGCCCAAAAAUCAGCCCCCGAAGGUCGGGGUCCCAAGACCCCCCAGCGGAAAAAUGGCCAAAAAACGGGUGGGCUAUAGCCUUGGUGGGGGGCGUGGGCUAAGGUCGUCCGCGGGACUCGGAAUGGCACCAUACUUGGCGGGCGGCCUCCGUGUGCCAAAAAUAGGCCACGGGCACAGCCGCGGCCAAAACUCAGCCCCCGAAGGUCGGGGUCCAAAGACCCCCCAGUGGAAAAAUGGCCAAAAACGGGUGGGCUAUAGCCUUGGUGGGGGGCGUGGGCGAACUUCGUCCGCGGGACUCGGAAUGGCCCCUGACUUGGCGGGCGGCCUCCGUGUGCCAAAAAUAGGCCACGGGCACAGCCGCGCCCAAAAAUCAGCCCCCGAAGGUCGGGGUCGCAAGACCCCCACUGGAAAAAUGGCCAAAAAACGGGUGGGCUAUAGCCUUGGUGGGCGGCGUGGGCGAAGUUCGUCCGCGGGACUCGGAAUGGCACCAUACUUGGCGGGCGGCCUCUGUGUGCCAAAAAUAGGCCACGGGCACAGCCGCGCACAAAAAUCAGCCCCCGAAGGUCGGGGUCCCAAGACCCCCCAGUGGAAAAAUGGCCAAAAAACGGGUGGGCUAUAGCCUUGGUGGGGGGCGUGGGCGAACUUCGUCCGCGGGACUCGGAAUGGCCCCUGACCUGGCGGGCGGCCUCCGUGUGCCAAAAAUAGGCN
Molecule: long non-coding RNA, 1319 nt
Filed under: Citrus x clementina
Lineage: Eukaryota; Viridiplantae; Streptophyta; Magnoliopsida; Sapindales; Rutaceae
Description: Citrus clementina (C. clementina) long non-coding RNA (CCLE_LNC005082)
Source: RNAcentral